CCUUUGUACACACCGCCCGUCGCUACUACCGAUUGAAUGGCUUAGUGAGGCCUUCGGACUGGCUCCAGAAAAUGGGAAACCAUUAUCAGGAGCUGGAAAGUUGGUCAAACUUGGUCAUUUAGAGG
Molecule: ribosomal RNA, 125 nt
Filed under: Lipomyces yamadae
Lineage: Eukaryota; Fungi; Ascomycota; Lipomycetes; Lipomycetales; Lipomycetaceae
Description: partial small subunit ribosomal RNA
Rfam family: Eukaryotic small subunit ribosomal RNA
Source: RNAcentral